GGAGAGGUCACCAUUGGCAAGGCAAGUCGUUUGCUAAACGAUCGAGGUUUAAUCCCCUCUGUGGGUUCGACUCCCACUCUCUCCGCCA
Molecule: transfer RNA, 88 nt
Filed under: Leptolyngbya sp. UWPOB_LEPTO1
Lineage: Bacteria; Bacillati; Cyanobacteriota; Cyanophyceae; Leptolyngbyales; Leptolyngbyaceae
Description: tRNA-Ser
Rfam family: tRNA
About the family: Transfer RNA (tRNA) molecules are approximately 80 nucleotides in length. Their secondary structure includes four short double-helical elements and three loops (D, anti-codon, and T loops).
Source: RNAcentral